ANUGCAGUCGANCGGACGACGGGAGCUUGCUCCCUUAGGUCAGCGGCGGACGGGUGAGUNNACGUGGGUAACCUGCCUGUAAGACUGGGAUAACUCCGGGAAACCGGGGCUAAUACCGGAUGCUUGAUUGAACCGCAUGGUUCAAUCAUAAAAGGUGGCUUUNAGCUACCACUUACAGAUGGACCCGCGGCGCAUUAGCUAGUUGGUGAGGUAACGGCUCACCAAGGCGANGAUGCGUAGCCGACCUGAGAGGGUGAUCGGCCACACUGGGACUGANACACGGCCCAGACUCCUACGGGAGGCAGCAGUAGGGAAUCUUCCGCAAUGGACGAAAGUCUGACGGANCAACGCCGCGUGAGUGAUGAAGGUUUUCGGAUCGUAAAACUCUGUUGUUAGGGAAGAACAAGUACCGUUCGAAUAGGGCGGCACCUUGACGGUACCUAACCAGAAAGCCACGGCUAACUACGUGCCAGCAGCCGCGGUAAACGUAGGUNGCAAGCGUUGUCCGGAAUUAUUGGGCGUNAAGCGCGCGCAGGCGGUUUCUUAAGUCUGAUGUGAAAGCCCCCGGCUCAACCGGGGAGGGUCAUUGGAAACUGGGGAACUUGAGUGCAGAAGANGANNNUGGAAUUCCACGUGUANCGGUGAAAUGCGUNNAGAUGUGG
Molecule: ribosomal RNA, 662 nt
Filed under: Bacillus sp. N33621VB01_16S_27f
Lineage: Bacteria; Bacillati; Bacillota; Bacilli; Caryophanales; Bacillaceae
Description: partial 16S ribosomal RNA
Rfam family: Bacterial small subunit ribosomal RNA
Source: RNAcentral